AAGAAGACAUUGAGUAGCGAAGUAAACUAGAGUCUUGCUUGUCAGUGAGCCGCGUAAAGUGCGAAGCGGCCUAGCAUUUCUAGUUGAAGGUAGGCUACGAGUCGUGAUUGCGACUGAAAAGAAGUGGUCACUGGGAUUGCGCCCAUUACAGCAAUGACGUAUCGUCGGUUUUCGGCCGUACGUUUGGAGGUUUAAUCGGUGACGGUUAAACGAAACAAGGUGGUAACGCGCAUUGGCGCCCUUGAC
Molecule: non-coding RNA, 246 nt
Filed under: Lacticaseibacillus manihotivorans
Lineage: Bacteria; Bacillati; Bacillota; Bacilli; Lactobacillales; Lactobacillaceae
Description: Lactobacillus manihotivorans T-box sequence
Rfam family: T-box leader
About the family: Uncharged tRNA acts as the effector for transcription antitermination of genes in the T-box leader family. T-boxes are found upstream of many aminoacyl-tRNA synthetase genes and some amino acid biosynthetic genes usually in Gram-positive bacteria. The anticodon of a specific tRNA base pairs to a specifier sequence within the T-box motif, and the NCCA acceptor tail of the tRNA base pairs to a conserved bulge in the T-box antiterminator hairpin.
Source: RNAcentral